RNA transcript from Platichthys flesus (European flounder), 1737 nucleotides. It is a transcript of the gene named mitochondrial carnitine/acylcarnitine carrier protein, with no coding region annotated. NCBI's taxonomy places the organism in Eukaryota, Metazoa, Chordata, Actinopteri, Pleuronectiformes, Pleuronectidae. The record is from RefSeq and is a predicted model, not a curated record. The transcript has 8 exons.
CACGCACACAAACUGACAAGCAAACAAUCCCUCCCACACACAGACACACACACAGAGGCUGAGACAGGCGGAGCUGAGGUGUAAGUACCGGGGACUGUCCGGUGAGACUCGGUGUGAGGACCGGGGACUGUCCGGUGAGACUCGGUGUGAGGACCGGGGACUGUCCGGUGAGACUCGGUGUGAGGACCGGGGACUGUCCGGUGAGACUCGGUGUGAGGACCGGGCCAUGUGUGCAGAAGAUGGGGGAAGAAACAAGAGUUUCUCCGCUGAAGAACUUCGUGGCCGGAGGAGUAGGUGGAGCGUGUCUGCUGCUGGCUGGACACCCGCUGGACACCAUCAAGGUGAGGCUACAAACACAACCCAAAGCCUCCUGCACUCAGUAUGUCCUCUACACAGGAACAUAUGACUGCUUCCGCAAGACUGUGUCCAAAGAGGGUAUCCUCGGCCUCUACAGGGGAAUGGGGGCGCCGCUGGCGGGCGUGGCUCCGAUGAUGGCCAUCAGCUUCUUCGGCUUCGGUCUGGGGAAACAGCUCCAGCAGACGGAUCCUGGCCAACUUCUAACGCCCUCUCAGGUCUUCCUGGCUGGAUGUCUGGCAGGCGUCUUCACCACAGUGAUCGUGGCUCCAGGAGAGAGGAUCAAGUGUUUACUGCAGGUGCAGGCGAGCAGCGGUCAGACUCGGUACUCGGGUCCAGUGGACUGUGCGCUCCGGCUCUACAGGGAGCAGGGGCUCCGCGGCGUCUACAAAGGGACGCUGCUCACUCUGAUCAGAGACGUGCCUUCUAAUGGUCUCUACUUCCUCACAUAUCAAUACCUCAAACACUUCCUGACACCUGAGGGUCAAAGUGUUUCUCAGCUGAGCACUCCCAGAAUCCUCCUGGCCGGGGGCGUCGCCGGAAUAUUGAACUGGACGAUCGCUCUCCCCCCCGACGUCCUCAAGUCCAACUUCCAGACAGGUCUGAGUCCACCUGAAGCUCCUUAUACACAACACGUCCUCUGCUGCAUGCACGUUAACUCACCUGGUUCUUCUGCUGAGGGACGACAACCAAAUGUUCAUUAUUAUGCUCAAUACUGAUCUCACCAUGUUCCUCACAUGUUCCUCACAUGUUCUGCUGGUUGUGGAUGUGGGAACUAAUGUCUGAGUCAGUGUCUCUGGACAUGUUCUGGAUCUUCUCCUGCAGUCUCCUGGUGAAAUGUGUGUAACAUGUCAGAGUGAGUCCAUGUGAGGAACCAGCAGGACAAUGUGUGGAAGCUUCCCAGUGAGCGAGUGGACGUGUUGAUGAGGUUUCUAACACGUGACGUGAAACUGGAAGAACACAAACAUCUCAGGAUGAAGAAGAGGAGUCGUUCACGUAGAAGACGAUGAUCAACUUGGAAACACGAGGAGAUUCCAGAUCUUCUGGUGAUGAGGGCCGACUCCUGUGUGGAUGAGCUGUAAACAACAGCUCAUCUUUACACAGCAGAGUUUAUACAUCAUGUCCCGCCUCCUGCUGCUCUACAGGCUCCGCCUCCUGCUGCUCCACAGGCUCCGCCCCUCACCUGGAUGUCCCCACAUGUUCCUGUUUGUGUGAACGAGUCGGACCCAACAACCAGCUGCUGCUUCACACACACCAACUACACAACAUCUGCAGAGGGGAAGUACAGAGGUCUUGUGGACGUCCUGAGAACGCUGCUGCGUGAGGAAGGCCCUAGAGCGCUCUAUAAGGGAUUCAACCCCGUCUUCCUCCGAGCCUUCCCUG